RNAcentral lists this unclassified non-coding RNA (315 nucleotides) under plant metagenome. Its description in RNAcentral is "partial contains 5.8S ribosomal RNA, internal transcribed spacer 2, and large subunit ribosomal RNA". The stretch from base 1 to 105 matches the Rfam family "5.8S ribosomal RNA", at positions 50 to 154 of the family's 154-position model. The record is from RNAcentral.
GAACUGCGAUAAGUAAUGUGAAUUGCAGAAUUCAGUGAAUCAUCGAGUCUUUGAACGCACAUUGCGCCCCCUGGCAUUCCGGGGGGCAUGCCUGUCCGAGCGUCAUUGCUGCCCUUCAAACCCGGCUUGUGUGUUGGGUCGUCGUCCCCUCCGGGGGACGGGCCCGAAAGGCAGCGGCGGCACCGCGUCCGGUCCUCGAGCGUAUGGGGCUUUGUCACCCGCUCGAUAAGGACCGGCCGGGCGCCAGCCGGCGUCUCCAACCUUUUUUUCUCAGGUUGACCUCGGAUCAGGUAGGGAUACCCGCUGAACUUAAGC